AUACAGAGGGUGCGAGCGUUAAUCGGAUUUACUGGGCGUAAAGCGUGCGUAGGCGGCUUCUUAAGUCGGAUGUGAAAUCCCUGAGCUUAACUUAGGAAUUGCAUUCGAUACUGGGAAGCUAGAGUAUGGGAGAGGAUGGUAGAAUUCCAGGUGUAGCGGUGAAAUGCGUAGAGAUCUGGAGGAAUACCGAUGGCGAAGGCAGCCAUCUGGCCUAAUACUGACGCUGAGGUACGAAAGCAUGGGGAGCAAACAGGAUUAGAAACCCGAGUAGUCC
This 274-nucleotide ribosomal RNA is filed under the name uncultured bacterium. RNAcentral describes it as "partial 16S ribosomal RNA". It matches the Rfam family "Bacterial small subunit ribosomal RNA", at positions 523 to 796 of the family's 1533-position model. The record is from RNAcentral.